Molecule: ribosomal RNA, 727 nt
Filed under: uncultured bacterium
Lineage: Bacteria
Description: bacterial SSU rRNA
Rfam family: Bacterial small subunit ribosomal RNA (bases 1-542)
Source: RNAcentral
CCUACGGGAGGCAGCAGUGGGGAAUUUUGGACAAUGGGCGAAAGCCUGAUCCAGCCAUUCCGCGUGCAGGAUGAAGGCCCUCGGGUUGUAAACUGCUUUUGUACAGAACGAAAAGGUUUCUACUAAUACUAGGGAGCUCAUGACGGUACUGUAAGAAUAAGCACCGGCUAACUACGUGCCAGCAGCCGCGGUAAUACGUAGGGUGCAAGCGUUAAUCGGGAAUUACUGGGCGUAAAGCGUGCGCAGGCGGUUAUAUAAGUCAGAUGUGAAAUCCCCGGGCUCAACCUGGGAACUGCAUUUGAGACUGUAUAGCUAGAGUGCGGUAGAGGGGGAUGGAAUUCCGCGUGUAGCAGUGAAAUGCGUAGAUAUGCGGAGGAACACCGAAUGGCGAAAGGCAAAUCCCCCUGGACCUGUACUGACGCUCAAUGCACGAAAGACGUGGGGAGGCAAACAAGGAUUAGAUAACCCUCGGUAGUCCACGCCCUAAACCGAAUAGUNUACUAGUUGGUUUGGGUUCGGUUUAACUUACGUACUACUACGUAAACGUAAACGAACGUAACGUAACCGGUACGGUAAGGUUAAGGUUAACCGGUACCCGGUCCGGGGUACGGGGUAACGGGGUACCCGGGGACCCGGAACCGGUUAAGGGUUAAAACGUUUAAAAAACGUUUAAAAGUUAAAGUUAAGGUUAACGGGUACCGGUUCGGUAGGAACGGUACGGUUACCC